Molecule: long non-coding RNA, 281 nt
Organism: Daphnia pulicaria
Lineage: Eukaryota; Metazoa; Arthropoda; Branchiopoda; Diplostraca; Daphniidae
Exons: 3
Source: RefSeq, a predicted model, not a curated record
GGCCUACUGAACCCUAGGCCGGUGGUCGAGCUAUACCCCUAUAGUGUAGCUUUUUCAACCCAUCCCCUUCCUUUCAACCUUCCUGGGAAGUGGCGCACCUAGCGCUCAAAUUAGCUUAUUAGCUUAUUAGCUUUUCAAAUUCCAUUCUUCCCAUUGCCAUACACCUACUACUUCAUAACUUUAUCGAAGAUUGGAGGAGCCUUGGCUGAUCAGCCGAUGAAGUGGAUUGACUCUUUUGGCUUAGAAAUGUUGGACGAAUUUAAGGUACUGAUGGUUUUUGA